This is a long non-coding RNA of Drosophila navojoa, 293 nucleotides long. Lineage: Eukaryota; Metazoa; Arthropoda; Insecta; Diptera; Drosophilidae. The record is from RefSeq and is a predicted model, not a curated record.
UUGCCAACAAUUGAUAUCAAAUUGACCCAUUUAGCCAGUCAGUACGAAUUCAAUAGUCGCGCCCAAAGCAACGGCAUUAGUUUCUCGUCACAGACCGUUGCCUUAAGUCCUUAAGUCCUGUCCAGCCGCUUGAAGUCGAAGUUGGUUCGCAUACGAAAAGCCAAACCGAAUGAGAAAAUUGCGCAGUUGUUGUGAUUACAUAAUCGGAAGUACUUAGUGUCCGAGUGAGAGCUGCCAGUCCUAGGACUGGUCGAGUGCCAGCUAGGUAGAUUUCGACAAAUUUGAAAAUUUAU